GACGAACGCUGGCGGCGUGCCUAAUACAUGCAAGUCGAACGCAGGGGGGACGGGUGAGUAACACGUGGGUAACCUCCCAUCAGAGGGGAUAAAACUUGGCAACAGGUGCUAAACCGAUAAUGUUGGAUGGACCCGCGGUGCAUUAGCUAGUUGGUGAGGUAACGGCUCACCAAGGCCACGUGGCAUAGCGGACCGGAGAGGGUGAUCGGCCACACUGGAACUGAGACACGGCCCAGACUCCUACGGGAGGCAGCAGUGGGGAAUCGUCGACAAUGGACGAAAGGCUGACCGAGCAACGCCGCGUGAGUGAAGAAGGUUUUCGGAUCGUAAAACUCUGUUGUUAGAGAAGCGGUAUCUACCCAGUAAGCCACGGCUAACUACGUGCCAGCAGCCGCGGUAAUUC
RNAcentral lists this ribosomal RNA (403 nucleotides) under uncultured bacterium. RNAcentral describes it as "partial 16S ribosomal RNA". It matches the Rfam family "Bacterial small subunit ribosomal RNA", at positions 28 to 526 of the family's 1533-position model. The record is from RNAcentral.